CCUACGGGCGGCAGCAGUGAGGAAUAUUGGUCAAUGGGCGCAAGCCUGAACCAGCCAAGUCGCGUGAGGGAUGACGGUCCUAUGGAUUGUAAACCUCUUUUGUCGGGGAGCAAGGCCCGCCACGUGUGGCGGGAAGGAGAGUCGCCGAAGAAAAAGCCUCGUCUAACUCCGCGCCAGCAGCCGCGGUAAUACGGAAGACGCGAGUGUUAUCCGGAUUUAUUGGGUUAAAAGGGUGCGUUGGCGGAGGGUUAAGUCAGCGGUAAAGUGUCUGUGCUCAGGACCGGCUUGCCGUUGAAACUGGUCUUCUUGAGUGAGCGAGAAGUAUGCGGAAUGCGUGGUGUAGCGGUGAAAUGCAUAGAUAUCACGCAGAACUCCGAUUGCGAAGGCAGCAUACCGACGCGCAACUGACGCUGAGGCACGAAAGCGUGGGGAUCGAACAGGAUUAGAUACCCCUGUAGUC
Molecule: ribosomal RNA, 460 nt
Filed under: uncultured bacterium
Lineage: Bacteria
Description: partial 16S ribosomal RNA
Rfam family: Bacterial small subunit ribosomal RNA
Source: RNAcentral